UGGGGAAUAUUGCACAAUGGGCGCAAGCCUGAUGCAGCCAUGCCGCGUGUAUGAAGAAGGCCUUCGGGUUGUAAAGUACUUUCAGCGGGGAGGAAGGUGUUGAGGUUAAUAACCUCAGCAAUUGACGUUACCCGCAGAAGAAGCACCGGCUAACUCCGCGCCAGCAGCCGCGGUAAUACGGAGGGUGCAAGCGUUAAUCGGAAUUACUGGGCGUAAAGCGCACGCAGGCGGUCUGUCAAGUCGGAUGUGAAAUCCCCGGGCUCAACCUGGGAACUGCAUUCGAAACUGGCAGGCUAGAGUCUUGUAGAGGGGGGUAGAAUUCCAGGUGUAGCGGUGAAAUGCGUAGAGAUCUGGAGGAAUACCGGUGGCGAAGGCGGCCCCCUGGACAAAGACUGACGCUCAGGUGCGAAAGCGUGGGGAGCAAACA
This 427-nucleotide ribosomal RNA is filed under the name uncultured bacterium. Its description in RNAcentral is "partial 16S ribosomal RNA". It matches the Rfam family "Bacterial small subunit ribosomal RNA", at positions 355 to 774 of the family's 1533-position model. The record is from RNAcentral.